GACUAUAGGCACGCACCACCGCGCCGGGCUCUUUCUGGCUUUUUCUACUAAAGUUCUGGCCUUUGAGGAUCUGCUUAUUGCUCAGUGUGGGACCGCUUCCCUCACCUGAAGCGCAGGGUGGGGCCAGAAGGGUUUUCUAAGGAAUGUCCUGCCUAUUGACUUUCCUGUUGCCAUAGAGAUGGCCUGUGCAAACAGGAGCCCUCACUUUGCAUCUGCUGCUCCCCGGCCUGUUAGCAAACAGUUUCCAGCUGCCCGGGUCAGCUGUGCACCGUGCCCACAUCCGCGCCGGCUAGACCCACGCAGUCCCAGGCUUCAGCGCCUGCGGGCGGUAACACCCCCCACAACCCUCAGGCACUGGGAGUGGGUGGGGCUUUUCAGUGUGAACUCUUUUCUUCCUCACUUUACAGUCAUCCAACCAGCCACUCAGAAGGAAUGAGGGUGAGAAAGGAGGAGCCUCUUGGUCACAGGAGGAACAUGAAAUGUUAUUUUUAGAGGAAAUGUCAGAGGGGAAAGAUUUUCCCAGAGGCUAAAGAAUGAAAGUUCCCUUUGCAGACAGCCAAUGACUAUCACUUCGUGAGGACUUAGCAUGUGCCAAGGGCACCCAGCCCUUUGCAUUCAUUACCCCACUUGAUCCUCACACCAUACCCCAUAUGAUGGGUCCUACUUUUCCUCAGAGAGGUUGAGUAACCUGCUCAAGGUCACACAGCAGGUGUGUGUCAGAGUCAGCUCAUUUAUAUCCAGGCCUAUAUACUUGACUUUUAUGUUAUACCAAAAGUCUCUGAAUACCUAUGGGAAACAAAAUGUUGGUAGAAUGAUCAGUUAUCUCUGCUGAAAUAGAAGUGGUUUUUCUUCCUAAUUAUGAGAAAAAAAAAACAUUUUAAAUUCUCAUAUCAGUGUAUUGCUACCUUUCCUAAGCUCCACCCUGGGUAAAAAUUUUAAGCAUUUUUAUGCUAUUGAAUAGUAAGUCACUUAUGACGAUAUUCAGCAAUGGACAAGAUAUAUGAAGAGACUAUAUUGCAUGUCAUUUACUCUUCGCAGUGACCUCGAGAAAUAGAGUAGAUUUGAGCCUCAGAGGGGCUGAGGCUGGGACCCCAAUCUGUUGUCAUCCUGGCCCUCCCCUUGAGUUUCUAAAAGUGCCAUCCUCAAGAACCUGUACAUGUAAAAAUGAAAUAUACUGACAAGUUUUCAGACUGUGUGUGUGUGUGUGUGUGUGUGCAUGUGUGCACACACAUGCCCAGGAGAAAAAAGAGGUACCGCGUAGGACUUUUGCAUUCGCUUUUCCCUUUGCGUGGAAUGCUCCUUCCCUCAAACUGCAAUAGAUGUAAAAUCUUGUCACUGGGCCUCACCAUCUCUCAUCAUCCAACCUAGAGCAGCCCCUCCCUGUCACUCUCCAUCUUAUGACCCUGUUUUAUUUCCUUCAAAGCCCUUCUUAUUAGGGAGCUCAUAGGAGCAUAAGAAUAGGAAAGGAGUCUAUGUGAGCAUAUAAAUGUUAGAAUUGUGUUUUAGACAAGUACUCAGGGUAUGUGCUGGUCCACACACCUGCUAUAUGUAGCUCAGCAUUCUCCACCAUCUGAAACGUUCUUAUCUAUUUACUUAUUCAUUUGUUCUCUAUCUACUGGAUAGUAAGCUUCAUGUCACUCUUGUUCAACGCCGUGACACCAGCACUUAGCACAGCGCCUGGCAUACAGUAGGCUCUAAAUAAAUGUUUGUUGGAUGAAUGAGUGAACAAGUGAGUUUAUGAUGCUCCUACAUGGAUGACAUUGACCAUUUACAAAGCACCUUGCAGCUGUCAUGUCAGCUCACUGGUAAUGGGCCAUCGAUAUGGAAUCUGUCCACCUUGGCUCUCUGGAACAGCUCUCCAGUUCCAACUUGGGUUUAAGCCUCAAAGGGGUCAGGAUACAAAGGGGUCAGAACACCGGAGAAACAAACCCCUCCCACAAAGUUCAUGUCCCUUUGUAGCGAGAUGUGGAACUCAAGACAGAGCUCACAGGAAGGCAGCAGAGCAUGGUAGUUGAAAGCUGGGAUUCUGGAGUCAGGCAGAAGCUGAUUAGAGACCCAGCUCUACUAAUGUGUGGCCUGAGCAAGUUACUUACCCUUUCCAGGCCUCAAAAUUCUCAUCGUUAAAUUGACUAUAGUUUGGAAGUUUCGUUAUGUUAGGGGACCAGAUUUACCCUCCGCCUGACACAACUAAAACAAAAUACAUGCAACAGUCGUUUUCAGAUGUUGGACUUUGCUGGCACAGAACAGUGAUCUCUAAGAGAUGGGAGAUCAAUGAGGUGAGCCCUGUGAGUGCCCAGCUUAAUGCCUAAGGGAUUUGUUUCCAGGCUGCAAUGCAAGGAAAGGGAACCCAGGCAGAUCCUUGUUGUAUCCCAGAGUUAGAGAGAUGCAGGUGGGAGUCUAGAGAUGCCAAGGUUACUGGUGGUCCAAGAGGAGACACACACACUCACACACACACACACACACACACACACACACUCACAGAGAGAGAGAGGGAGAGAGAGAAGACUAGAGAAGAGAGGAGAGAUAGAGCACUUCAGAGACUUGUAGAAAGUUCCCUUGAAUCUUCAGCUGAGUACUGAGUGAGGAAACUACCUGAGGCAGGGCUGAGAAGAGCUUAUGUUCGUACCAACAAAGGAAAACACCUUGUAAUUCAUAGGGAAGUAUUUGGCCUCCAUAUUGUAGAGAGAAAACAGUCAGUAGAAACUGACCCAGAAAUGGCACACGAUCAUUAGGAGACAUGGACAGUGAAACAAGUAUUAUGGUUCUUU
This is a long non-coding RNA of Sapajus apella (tufted capuchin), 2768 nucleotides long. RefSeq lists it as uncharacterized. NCBI's taxonomy places the organism in Eukaryota, Metazoa, Chordata, Mammalia, Primates, Cebidae. The transcript is spliced from 2 exons. The record is from RefSeq and is a predicted model, not a curated record.